Helianthus annuus (common sunflower) is the source of this 659-nucleotide long non-coding RNA. RefSeq lists it as uncharacterized. The record is from RefSeq and is a predicted model, not a curated record. Lineage: Eukaryota; Viridiplantae; Streptophyta; Magnoliopsida; Asterales; Asteraceae. The transcript is spliced from 3 exons.
AACGAAUAUACAAAGCUUUCUUCACUUAUGCUUACGAUUCCAAGGGGUGCUUCUUUAUAUCCAUUGGUCCCUUCCAUUAUAGAAUUGAAGCAUGACAGGAGACCUCAAAUGGAUAUUGUUGAUGUGGUUGGGAGAAUAAUAGAAGGCAAACGUGAUCGAUGUUGUUUUGAACUUUCUCUUCAAGAUAAGACUGGUCACACAAUACAAUUGUUUUUGUCUGCCCUGAAGCCUUCCGAUGUUAUACGUUCCAUUCGAGCCGUGCAACAAAGGUCUAUCAUAUAUGUAUCACGUCUCAAGUUGGUUCAUCUACCAGAUAGUAUGUUAUGCUUUACACAUGAACAUUCUAAUAAUUAGUUAGAUCUAAUGGCUCAUGUAGUUUAAUAAAAGUUAUAUUUUAUUUGUUAUUUCAGUUAAUAUUUUGAAGUCUACGGAGUUGAGUACGAUUACGUACGAACCGGAUAUGGUCGAGGCACGGGAUAUGUAAAUUAUGGAUCGUUAUCCAAUUUGUGUUUAAGUUAGAAACAUUUGGUGUUGUUAUUUGUUUAGUUGUUGAAUAUUAAAGUCUCUCUUGGUGUUUCGUGUUUUGCUUUUUGUUUCCCUCAUAUUGAUGUAAUUGUAGAAGUAUGCUUUUUGUUUCACCAAGGUAUAAUCUUCUUAGA